AGUGAACGCUGGCGGUAGGCCUAACACAUGCAAGUCGAACGGCAGCACAGUAAGAGCUUGCUCUUACGGGUGGCGAGUGGCGGACGGGUGAGGAAUACAUCGGAAUCUACUUUUUCGUGGGGGAUAACGUAGGGAAACUUACGCUAAUACCGCAUACGACCUACGGGUGAAAGCAGGGGAUCUUCGGACCUUGCGCAAUUGAAUGAGCCGAUGGCGGAUUAGCUAGUUGGCGGGGUAAAGGCCCACCAAGGCGACGAUCCGUAGCUGGUCUGAGAGGAUGAGCAGCCACACUGGAACUGAGACACGGUCCAGACUCCUACGGGGGGCAGCAGUGGGGAAUAUUGGACAAGGGGCGCAAGCCUGAUCCAGCCAUACCGCGUGGGUGAAGAAGGCCUUCGGGUUGGAAAGCCCUUUUGUUGGGAAAGAAAAGCAGCAGGUUAAUACCCCGCUGUUCUGACGGUACCCAAAGAAUAAGCACCGGCUAACUUCG
This 490-nucleotide ribosomal RNA is filed under the name uncultured bacterium. RNAcentral's name for it is "partial 16S ribosomal RNA". It matches the Rfam family "Bacterial small subunit ribosomal RNA", at positions 29 to 505 of the family's 1533-position model. The record is from RNAcentral.